GAUUAAGUUAUUAAGGGCGCACGGUGGAUGCCUUGGCACUAGAAGCCGACGAAGGACGUUACUAACGACGAUAUGCUUUGGGGAGCUGUAAGUAAGCUUUGAUCCAGAGAUUUCCGAAUGGGGAAACCCAGCACGAGUUAUGUCGUGUUAUCUGCAUGUGAAUACAUAGCAUGCAAGAAGGCAGACCCGGAGAACUGAAACAUCUUAGUACCCGGAGGAAGAGAAAGAAAAAUCGAUUCCCUGAGUAGCGGCGAGCGAAACGGGAAGAGCCCAAACCAAUAAGCUUGCUUAUUGGGGUUGUAGGACACUCUGUACGGAGUUACAAAAGAAUUUGUUAGACGAAUAACCUGGAAAGGUUAAUCAGAGAAGGUAAUAAUCCUGUAGUCGAAAACGAAUUCUCUCUUGAGUGGAUCCUGAGUACGACGGAGCACGUGAAAUUCCGUCGGAAUCUGGGAGGACCAUCUCCUAAGGCUAAAUACUCUCUAGUGACCGAUAGUGAACCAGUACCGUGAGGGAAAGGUGAAAAGUACCCCGGAAGGGGAGUGAAAGAGAACUUGAAACCGUGUGCUUACAAGUAGUCAGAGCCCGUUAAUGGGUGAUGGCGUGCCUUUUGUAGAAUGAACCGGCGAGUUACGAUCUGAUGCAAGGUUAAGCAGAAAAUGUGGAGCCGUAGCGAAAGCGAGUCUGAAUAGGGCGAAUGAGUAUUUGGUCGUAGACCCGAAACCAGGUGAUCUACCCUUGGUCAGGUUGAAGUUCAGGUAACACUGAAUGGAGGACCGAACCGACUUACGUUGAAAAGUGAGCGGAUGAACUGAGGGUAGCGGAGAAAUUCCAAUCGAACUUGGAGAUAGCUGGUUCUCUCCGAAAUAGCUUUAGGGCUAGCCUCAAGUGAUGAUUAUUGGAGGUAGAGCACUGUUUGGACGAGGGGCCCCUCUCGGGUUACCGAAUUCAGACAAACUCCGAAUGCCAAAUAAUUUAACUUGGGAGUCAGAAUGUGGGUGAUAAGGUCCAUAUUCGAAAGGGAAACAGCCCAGACCACCAGCUAAGGUCCCAAAAUAUAUGUUAAGUGGAAAAGGAUGUGGCGUUGCCCAGACAACUAGGAUGUUGGCUUAGAAGCAGCCAUCAUUUAAAGAGUGCGUAAUAGCUCACUAGUCGAGUGACACUGCGCCGAAAAUGUACCGGGGCUAAACAUAUUACCGAAGCUGUGGAUUGUCCAUUGGACAAUGGUAGGAGAGCGUUCUAAGGGCGUUGAAGCAUGAUCGCAAGGACAUGUGGAGCGCUUAGAAGUGAGAAUGCCGGUGUGAGUAGCGAAAGACGGGUGAGAAUCCCGUCCACCGAUUGACUAAGGUUUCCAGAGGAAGGCUCGUCCGCUCUGGGUUAGUCGGGUCCUAAGCUGAGGCCGACAGGCGUAGGCGAUGGAUAACAGGUUGAUAUUCCUGUACCACCAUUAUUCGUUUUAAGCGAUGGGGGGACGCAGUAGGAUAGGCGAAGCGUGCUGUUGGAGUGCACGUCCAAGCAGUGAGAUUGAGUGUUAGGCAAAUCCGGCACUCUUAAGAUUGAGCUGUGAUGGGGAGAGGAACUUGUUCCUCGAGUCGUUGAUUUCACACUGCCGAGAAAAGCCUCUAGCUAGA
RNAcentral lists this ribosomal RNA (1631 nucleotides) under Staphylococcus pseudintermedius. RNAcentral's name for it is "partial 23S ribosomal RNA". It matches the Rfam family "Bacterial large subunit ribosomal RNA", at positions 1 to 1631 of the family's 2925-position model. The record is from RNAcentral. Lineage: Bacteria; Bacillati; Bacillota; Bacilli; Caryophanales; Staphylococcaceae.